RNAcentral lists this ribosomal RNA (460 nucleotides) under uncultured bacterium. RNAcentral describes it as "partial 16S ribosomal RNA". It matches the Rfam family "Bacterial small subunit ribosomal RNA", at positions 338 to 795 of the family's 1533-position model. The record is from RNAcentral.
CCUACGGGAGGCAGCAGUGAGGAAUAUUGGUCAAUGGGCGCGAGCCUGAACCAGCCAAGUAGCGUGAAGGAUGACUGCCCUACGGGUUGUAAACUUCUUUUAUAAAGGAAUAAAGUGAGGCACGUGUGCCUUUUUGUAUGUACUUUAUGAAUAAGGAUCGACUAACUCCGUGCCAUCAGCCGCGGUAAUACGGAGGAUCCGAGCGUUAUCCGGAUUUAUUGGGUUUAAAGGGAGCGUAGAUGGGUUGUUAAGUCAGUUGUGAAAGUUUGCGGCUCAACCGUAAAAUUGCAAUUGAUACUGGCAGUCUUGAGUACAGUUGAGGUAGGCGGAAUUCGUGGUGUAGCGGUGAAAUGCUUAGAUAUCACGAAGAACUCCGAUUGCGAAGGCAGCUUACUAAACUGCCACUGACAUUGAUGCUCGAAAGUGUGGGUAUCAAACAGGAUUAGAUACCCCAGUAGUC